AGAGUUUGAUCCUGGCUCAGGACGAACGCUGGCGGCGUGCUUAACACAUGCAAGUCUAGGGGAAAGUUUUCUUCGGAAGAUGAGUACACUGGCGCACGGGUGAGUAAUAUAUAAGUAAUCUGCCCUUGGGUUUGGAAUAACGUCGAGAAAUUGGCGCUAAUACCAAAUAAUGCAGCGGCAUCGCAGGGUGAUGUUGUUAAAGGUGCUUGCACCGCCUAAGGAUGGGCUUGUAUUCGAUUAGCUAGUUGGUAGGGUAACGGCCUACCAAGGCGACGAUCGAUAGCUGGUCUGAGAGGAUGAUCAGCCACACUGGAACUGAGACACGGCCCACACUCCUACGGGAGGCAGCAGUGGGGAAUAUUGCGCAAUGGGGGAAACCCUGACGCAGCGACGCCGCGUGCGGGAAGAAGGCCUUCGGGUCGUAAACCGCUGUCAGGAGGGAAGAAACUGUUAGGGUAUAAUACCCCCUUUCACUGACGGUACCUC
RNAcentral lists this ribosomal RNA (486 nucleotides) under uncultured bacterium. RNAcentral's name for it is "bacterial SSU rRNA". It matches the Rfam family "Bacterial small subunit ribosomal RNA", at positions 8 to 481 of the family's 1533-position model. The record is from RNAcentral.